Sardina pilchardus (European sardine) is the source of this 502-nucleotide long non-coding RNA. RefSeq lists it as uncharacterized. NCBI's taxonomy places the organism in Eukaryota, Metazoa, Chordata, Actinopteri, Clupeiformes, Clupeidae. The record is from RefSeq and is a predicted model, not a curated record. The transcript is spliced from 4 exons.
GAUCGCUUGACGGCCAACAAACGGUACAACUGACGGCACGACAUACCUUUAUAAGCUGCACGUUAUGUUAAUAAAUAAUAAUUUAUUAUUCAGUUCACGGCGAGUCUGUUUCGAAGGAUAUUUAAAUUGAAAGGCUUAGCCUAUUUUUACCAGUAUGAAGCCGGUUUUCAACGGUUGCUGCAAACGGCAAGCACGCAGUUCAAGUCAUCACUGGAGGGACCUGUGCAUAACUUUGGAUGAGAGAAGACUCAACGCCUGACUUAAAUCUUGCGAAAUUACGGUGAACUUGAGGAUCCUGAAUUUUGUUUUUUGAGAGGAGGGCGCACCAGAGCCUUUGAGGGCAUGCAUUGUAACGUGAGAGUUCACACCACCAGAAGAUGCAUUGUAACCAAGUCCACAAAGACCCCCCCCCCAGUGCAAGCUGAAGGACACAAAUGGCAAAACCUCGGAAGCCAAAGAAGUAGAUGAGGGCUUGACUCAGUGACACCCAAGCGAAAAACCC